RNAcentral lists this ribosomal RNA (513 nucleotides) under uncultured soil bacterium. RNAcentral's name for it is "bacterial SSU rRNA". It matches the Rfam family "Bacterial small subunit ribosomal RNA", at positions 26 to 523 of the family's 1533-position model. The record is from RNAcentral.
AGAAUCAACGCUGGCGGCGUGCCUAACACAUGCAAGUCGAACGCGAAAGGGACUUCGGUCCUGAGUAGAGUGGCGAACGGGUGAGUAACGCGUGGGUGACCUACCCUCGAGUGGGGGAUAACGUUCCGAAAGGGACGCUAAUACCGCAUGACAUUCCGGGUUUGAAGACCUGGAAAUCAAAGCCGGGGACCGCAAGGCCUGGCGCUAGAGGAGGGGCCCGCGUCUGAUUAGCUAGUUGGCGGGUAACGCCCACAAGGCGACGAUCAGUAGCCGGCCUGAGAGGGCGGACGGCCACGACUGGGACUGGAGACACGGCCCAGACUCCUACGGGAGGCAGCAGUGGGGAAUGUUCGCAAUGGGCGCAAGCCUGACGACGCAACGCCGCGUGGAGGAUGAAGGUCUUCGGAUCGUAAACUCCCUGUUGAUCGGGACGAAAAGCUUCAACCUAAUACGUUGAAGACUGACGGUACCGUUGAGGAAGCCACGGCUAACUCUGUGCAGCAGCCGCGGUAA